CAAAUGAGAAUACCGGCUGAACUUAAGCAAUAUCAACUAAGCCGAGGAAAAGAAACUAACAAGGAUACCCUAAGUAACGGCGAGUGAACCGGGUAAUGCUCAAUCUUAAAAUCUGUGUCCCUCAUGGGGCAUCGAAUUGUAGUUUUUUGAUAAUCAUCCCCUCUUCUUUUAAUAUAAUUAAAGUCUCUUGGAAUAGAGUGUCAUAGAAGGUGAGAACCCUGUGAAUAGUUUUAUUAAAGGGAGGAUAUUGAGUUUGAUUAUCAUAGAGUCGGGUUGUUUGGGAAUGCAGCCUAAAAAGGGUGGUAAAUCUCAUCUAAAGCUAAAUAUUUGGUAAGAGACCGAUAGAAUACAAGUACCGUGAGGGAAAGAUGAAAAGAACUUUGAAAAAGAGAGUUAAAAAGUACUUGAAAUUGUUAACUGGG
RNAcentral lists this ribosomal RNA (422 nucleotides) under uncultured eukaryote. RNAcentral describes it as "eukaryotic LSU rRNA". It matches the Rfam family "Eukaryotic large subunit ribosomal RNA", at positions 12 to 416 of the family's 3401-position model. The record is from RNAcentral.